Molecule: long non-coding RNA, 364 nt
Organism: Sinocyclocheilus grahami
Lineage: Eukaryota; Metazoa; Chordata; Actinopteri; Cypriniformes; Cyprinidae
Exons: 6
Source: RefSeq, a predicted model, not a curated record
GUGUGAAUAUCAUAUGCUCUGAUGACCCUGAGAACAUAAUUACAACCUGGCUUCAUGAAACUCUUUCUAGUAAAGGAAUAGACGUGUUGCACUUAAAAAUCUUGACUUCCUCAACACAUGCACGAAAACGAAGUGUGGAAACAAAGUCAUUUAAACUGGAUAGAAAGCAAUCCCUGCUUUUGGUAACAAGCCAUAGCUGUGUCUUUCAUGCCCAGGUAAAAACUUCCUCAAACAUCACAGAGACAAUAAACCUGAUUGACAGACUUCUGGAGAAACCAUACACCAGUGGAGCAGUAUUCUUAUAUGCCCAACCCGAGGACAUUUUCAUUUCUUAUAUUGAGCCAUGCCCUGAGCACAACCAUCA